CCGUAGCCCAAGAGAUCGGGAUAACACCUGGAAACAGAUGCUAAUACCGGAUAACAACAGAUGAUGCCUAUCAACUGUUUAAAAGAUGGUUCUGCUAUCACUCUUGGAUGGACCUGCGGUGCAUUAGCUAGUUGGUAGGGUAACGGCCUACCAAGGCGAUGAUGCAUAGCCGAGUUGAGAGACUGAUCGGCCACAAUGGAACUGGGACACGGUCCAUACUCCUACGGGAGGCAGCAGGC
RNAcentral lists this ribosomal RNA (239 nucleotides) under uncultured Lactobacillus sp. Its description in RNAcentral is "partial 16S ribosomal RNA". It matches the Rfam family "Bacterial small subunit ribosomal RNA", at positions 125 to 354 of the family's 1533-position model. Lineage: Bacteria; Bacillati; Bacillota; Bacilli; Lactobacillales; Lactobacillaceae. The record is from RNAcentral.